RNAcentral lists this long non-coding RNA (728 nucleotides) under Malus domestica (apple). RNAcentral describes it as "long non-coding RNA (MDOM_LNC016713)". Lineage: Eukaryota; Viridiplantae; Streptophyta; Magnoliopsida; Rosales; Rosaceae. The record is from RNAcentral.
CAUAAAUUGGUUUUGCUUCACACUGUCUUGAUAAAGAGUGUGUGAAGCUUUUGAGAAUUGUGGUUGAACUCCUUUGAUGAAGCUCUUGUUGGCACCAUAAAUUGGUUUUGCUUCACACUGUCUUGAUCAAGAGUGUGUGAAGCUUUUGAGAAUAAUGGUUGCCCUCCAUUGAUGAAGCUCUUGUUGGCACCAUAAAUUGGUUUUGCUUCACGCUGUCUUGAUCAAGAGUGUGUGAAGCUUUUGAGAAUUCGUAGUGUUUGCAUUGUUAUAGAGGGGAAAUGUUUGAAGCAUAUGCAAGAGGGCUGAAUAGCUUGAUCUUCGUAUGCUAUGCACUGAAGUUGUUAUUGGCUUGCAAUAAGACUUUGUUGGUGACUAUAACUCUUGUUGGGCAUAAGUGCUCCCCUAGUUGAGUUAUCAAGCUUUAGGGUUUUUUAUUAUUUGUGAAUGCUAAGAGUUCAUGGGGGCGUUUCUUUACCGUCACUAAGUGGGACUAGACUGGACUGGGCUAGCUGUUAGUCCAAUACUGUGUUUGUUCCAUGUUGGGACUAACAUUAAUGAGACUAAAGGGGACUAGCAUGGACAAAACCCUUCACUAAGAGGUCUUAGCGAGACCCCCCAAUAACUAUGGGACUAGCUAAGACUAUCCUCUCUCGUCCUCGUCAUGCUCAACAACCACUCCUGAUAGACUCCUCGUCAUCUCCGGUCACCUAGAUCAUAAUAAAAUAUUA